RNAcentral lists this ribosomal RNA (444 nucleotides) under uncultured bacterium. RNAcentral describes it as "bacterial SSU rRNA". It matches the Rfam family "Bacterial small subunit ribosomal RNA", at positions 29 to 516 of the family's 1533-position model. The record is from RNAcentral.
AACGAACGCUGGCGGCAUGCCUAACACAUGCAAGUCGAACGAGACCUUCGGGUCUAGUGGCGCACGGGUGCGUAACGCGUGGGAAUCUGCCCUUGGGUUCGGAAUAACAGUUAGAAAUGACUGCUAAUACCGGAUAAUGUCUUCGGACCAAAGAUUUAUCGCCCAGGGAUGAGCCCCGCGUAGGAUUAGCUAGUUGGUGAGGUAAAGGCUCACCAAGGCGACGAUCCUUAGCUGGUCUGAGAGGAUGAUCAGCCACACUGGGACUGAGACACGGCCCAGACUCCUACGGGAGGCAGCAGUGGGGAAUAUUGGACAAUGGGCGAAAGCCUGAUCCAGCAAUGCCGCGUGAGUGAUGAAGGCCUUAGGGUUGUAAAGCUCUUUUACCCGGGAUGAUAAUGACAGUACCGGGAGAAUAAAGCCCCGGCUAACUCCGUGCCAGCAGCC